GAUAAAUCCGAGCGCAGCCUCCACCAUUGCAGUUUGCAGUUUUGCGGAGCUGGGCUUGCGCCGCGGAUCCCUCCUAGGUCCUACGCCCGGUUCCUGGGCCUCCGCCGGACUUCGGCCGCGCGGCCUCCUCUCUGGCGAAGCCUUUUCCCAGCCCCCCUCCCCCCAUGUCGACCGCCCCUGCAUACAGUGAAGACAAGGGCGGCUCCGCUGGCCCUGGAGAGCCCGAGUACGGCCACGACCCGGCGAGCGGCGGCAUCUUCUCCUCCGACUACAAGCGGUG
RNAcentral lists this long non-coding RNA (280 nucleotides) under Marmota monax (woodchuck). The record is from RNAcentral. Lineage: Eukaryota; Metazoa; Chordata; Mammalia; Rodentia; Sciuridae.